GAUGAACGCUGGCGGCGUGCCUAAUACAUGCAAGUAGAACGCUGAAGGAGGAGCUUGCUCUUCUGGAUGAGUUGCGAACGGGUGAGUAACGCGUAGGUAACCUGCCUGGUAGCGGGGGAUAACUAUUGGAAACGAUAGCUAAUACCGCAUGACAACAGUUAUUGCAUGAUAACUGUUUAAAAGGGGCAACUGCUCCACUACCAGAUGGACCUGCGUUGUAUUAGCUAGUUGGUGAGGUAACGGCUCACCAAGGCGACGAUACAUAGCCGACCUGAGAGGGUGAUCGGCCACACUGGGACGGAGACACGGCCCAGACGCCUACGGGAGGCAGCAGUAGGGAAUCGUCGGCAAUGGACGGAAGUCUGACCGAGCAACGCCGCGGGAGUGAAGAAGGUUGUCGGAUCGUAAAGCUCGGUUGUAAGAGAAGAACGAGUGUGAGAGUGGAAAGUUCACACUGUGACGGUAGCUUAGCAGAAAGGGACGGCUAACUACGUG
Molecule: ribosomal RNA, 495 nt
Filed under: uncultured bacterium
Lineage: Bacteria
Description: partial 16S ribosomal RNA
Rfam family: Bacterial small subunit ribosomal RNA
Source: RNAcentral